This 251-nucleotide ribosomal RNA is filed under the name uncultured bacterium. Its description in RNAcentral is "partial 16S ribosomal RNA". It matches the Rfam family "Bacterial small subunit ribosomal RNA", at positions 86 to 354 of the family's 1533-position model. The record is from RNAcentral.
ACAAAGAGAGUAGCGCACUGGUGAGUAACACGUGGGAACGUACCUUGAAGUGGGGAAUAGCGUCUGGAAACGGACGAUAAUACCGCAUAAUCCCUGAGGGGGAAAGAUUUAUCGCUUUAAGAACGGCCCGCGGAAGAUUAGGUAGUUGGUGGGGUAAAGGCCUACCAAGCCUACGAUCUAUAGCUGGUCUGAGAGGACGAUCAGCCACAUUGGAACUGAGACACGGUCCAAACUCCUACGGAAGGCAGCAG